GAUAACUCCAGCUUGUGUCAAAUUGGCAAACAAAACCAUCCAGGCCAUGCUGGACUCUGCACCUUGUGGUCCAUGUGUGUAUGCUAAUACUGUGCGGAAAAUGUCCACCAUAGCUUUAGUCCUGCGAAUAUUUUCAGCCUGAAGACCGCUCCUCUACAGAGAUCGCUACUACUGAGCUUAGAUUUCAUCCAAGUGAUAUACUGGUAAAGUAUCAUGGAUGCUUUUUGUUCACAGAGAGAUCCAGCAAGUCAGAAGACAUCAUCAACAGCAUUAACCAACUGUGCAUCUCAAAACUGAGCUAUCAUACAGGGAGCUGACUUCAUAGAUGACUGCACAAGUUAAAGGUGCUUCUUUGCCUCCUGUUGAUACAUUAGUGGGAUCUGCUCAUCAAAUGUAGGAUUCCCAGGUUGCCAAUUUGAAAGAUGCUCUUACUCUUCUUUGGAAAUGAUCAGUUUUGGAAAAAUGUGUUGUUUUAUUUAAUCACACAUAUUUUUCAUGUAAAAAUAGUUUAGACUCCUUCAAAUAGUGUUUUUAAUUUCUUUCUGUAACCAUUUCCAUAUAGACACAGGCCUGGACAAUCAAGUAGAAAGAAUUUCUGUAAUAUACACAUCAUAGUCACAGCACCAACCACCCUUCAACUAUAAUAUUUCCUUAAAGACAUCAUUUAA
RNAcentral lists this long non-coding RNA (668 nucleotides) under Mus musculus (house mouse). RNAcentral describes it as "predicted gene, 35330". Lineage: Eukaryota; Metazoa; Chordata; Mammalia; Rodentia; Muridae. The record is from RNAcentral.